Molecule: ribosomal RNA, 254 nt
Filed under: uncultured bacterium
Lineage: Bacteria
Description: partial 16S ribosomal RNA
Rfam family: Bacterial small subunit ribosomal RNA
Source: RNAcentral
UACGUAGGGUGCAAGCGUUGUCCGGAAUUAUUGGGCGUAAAGGGCUCGUAGGCGGUUUGUCGCGUCGGGAGUGAAAUCCACUGGCUUAACUGGUGGCUUGCUUUCGAUACGGGCAGACUGGAGGUAUGCAGGGGGAGAACGGAAUUCCUGGUGUAGCGGUGAAAUGCGCAGAUAUCAGGAGGAACACCGGUGGCGAAGGCGGUUCUCUGGGCAUGUCCUGACGCUGAGGAGCGAAAGUGUGGGGAGCGAACAGG